RNAcentral lists this ribosomal RNA (499 nucleotides) under uncultured bacterium. RNAcentral's name for it is "partial 16S ribosomal RNA". It matches the Rfam family "Bacterial small subunit ribosomal RNA", at positions 30 to 523 of the family's 1533-position model. The record is from RNAcentral.
AUUGAACGCUGGCGGCAUGCCUUACACAUGCAAGUCGAACGGCAGCACGGGAGCAAUCCUGGUGGCGAGUGGCGAACGGGUGAGUAAAGUAUCGGAACGUGCCCAGUCGUGGGGGAUAACGUAGCGAAAGUUACGCUAAUACCGCAUACGAUCUAUGGAUGAAAGCGGGGGAUCGCAAGACCUCGCGCGAUUGGAGCGGCCGAUAUCAGAUUAGGUAGUUGGUGGGGUAAAGGCUCACCAAGCCGACGAUCUGUAGCUGGUCUGAGAGGACGACCAGCCACACUGGGACUGAGACACGGCCCAGACUCCUACGGGAGGCAGCAGUGGGGAAUUUUGGACAAUGGGCGAAAGCCUGAUCCAGCCAUGCCGCGUGCAGGAUGAAGGCCUCCGGGUUGUAAACUGCUUUUGUACGGAACGAAAAGGUUUGGCCUAAUAAGCUGAGCUCAUGACGGUACCGUAAGAAUAAGCACCGGCUAACUACGUGCAGCAGCCGCCGUAA